This 73-nucleotide transfer RNA is filed under the name Zingiber officinale. It matches the Rfam family "tRNA". Rfam says of the family: Transfer RNA (tRNA) molecules are approximately 80 nucleotides in length. Their secondary structure includes four short double-helical elements and three loops (D, anti-codon, and T loops). The record is from Rfam by way of RNAcentral. Lineage: Eukaryota; Viridiplantae; Streptophyta; Magnoliopsida; Zingiberales; Zingiberaceae.
GGGGGUCUAGCUCAUAAGGUAGAGCGCUUGCUUCGCAUGCGAGAGGCACGGGGUUCGAUUCCCCGGACCUCCA